AUUGAACGCUGGCGGCAGGCCUAACACAUGCAAGUAGAGCGGAGCGGCGAAAGGGUGAGUAAUGACUAGGAAUCAGCCUGGUAGUGGGGGACAACGUCCGGAAACGGGAGAUAAUACAGCAUACUAUCAGAUGAGCUUAGGUUGGAGUAGCAAGGUGGUGGGGUAAAGGCCUACCAAGGCGACGAUCAGUAACUGGUCUGAGAGGAUGAACAGUCACACUGAGACUGAGACACGGUCCAGACUCCUACGUGAGGCAGCAGUGGGGAAUAUUGGACAAUGGGCGAAAGCCUGAUCCAGCCAUGCCGCGUGUGUGAAGAAGUUCUUCGGAUUGUAAAGCACUUUAAGUUGGGAGGCGUUACCAACAGAAUAAGCACCGGCUAACUUCGUGCCAGCAGCCGCGGUAAUUC
Molecule: ribosomal RNA, 407 nt
Filed under: uncultured bacterium
Lineage: Bacteria
Description: partial 16S ribosomal RNA
Rfam family: Bacterial small subunit ribosomal RNA
Source: RNAcentral